UGGCAGGUAUUUCAUGUCAGUGCAGUUUAAUCUGAUUUAUAUAUAUCUGGUAUCCAAAUACCUGGAUGUUGUGGCGGGUAUUUCAUGUCAGUGCAGUUUAAUCUGAUUUAUAUAAAUCUGGUAUCCAAAUACCUGGAUGCUGUGGCAGGUAUUUCAUGUCAGUGCAGUUUAAUCUGAUUUAUAUAAAUCUGGUAUCCAAAUACCUGGAUGAUGUGGCAGGUAUUUCAUGUCAGUGCAGUUUAAUCUGAUUUAUAUAAAUCUGGUAUCCAAAUACCUGGAUGUUGUGGCGGGGAUUUCAUGUCAAUGCAGUUUAAUCUAAUAGUAUCCAAAUACCUGGCAAUACGGGGUCCAUGGUAGCAGCAUCCAAAAUUAGAUCACUAAGCAAAAUGCAGGGGAGUGGAUAUGUUUGGCAAUAUAGUGUGUAUGAAUUUGCUGCAGUUUUUUAAAAAGGUUGUUAUAUGAGUGAUUUUAGUGUAAUGAAAUUUAUUUUCAGAUAUUUACAAAUAAGAAUGGUGUGUUAUUUUUGUAUUUAUUUUUUUUUUCUCCAAGACUUUCUUAUUUACUAUUAACAUUUUCCUCUUAUAUUAGGCAGUUACAUGAUGGCUGAGCAAGGCAGUGUUGAUUUAGACUGGCUUCCGGCCUGUUUUACGGUUCUCACAAAAACCAACACACAAAUCGCAGGAUUUGUUUCAACCGAACAAGAGCUUGAAACUGUUUUGGAGUGCCAUAAGCGGGCAACCAUGACCUCUUUCAAUAUCUGGUCCAAUGACAGGAAAAAAACGAAAAAUCUCCACAUAGAAUUCUUUGGCAGGUGGAGGAUUAUUCAAACAAUGUGCCAUUAAUAGUGACAAAUCGCUUGAUUUACUCCUGUCAACAUGGCAAAGGAAGAAAUCGAAAGACAUCUGAAAAAGUACGUUAUUUUACUCAUCUCUUUUUUUUGCUUUGACUUGACGGUUAUCAUAAUUGUUUAUGU
RNAcentral lists this long non-coding RNA (973 nucleotides) under Astyanax mexicanus (Mexican tetra). RNAcentral describes it as "lncRNA (ENSAMXG00005001090.1)". The record is from RNAcentral. Lineage: Eukaryota; Metazoa; Chordata; Actinopteri; Characiformes; Acestrorhamphidae.